RNAcentral lists this ribosomal RNA (492 nucleotides) under uncultured bacterium. RNAcentral's name for it is "partial 16S ribosomal RNA". It matches the Rfam family "Bacterial small subunit ribosomal RNA", at positions 29 to 507 of the family's 1533-position model. The record is from RNAcentral.
AGUGAGCGCUGGCGGUAGGCCUAACACAUGCAAGUCGAACGGCAGCACAGUAAGAGCUUGCUCUUACGGGUGGCGAGUGGCGGACGGGUGAGGAAUACAUCGGAAUCUACUUUUUCGUGGGGGAUAACGUAGGGAAACUUACGCUAAUACCGCAUACGAUCUACGGGUGAAAGCAGGGGAUCUUCGGACCUUGCGCGAUUGAAUGAGCCGAUGUCGGAUUAGCUAGUUGGCGGGGUAAAGGCCCACCAAGGCGACGAUCCGUAGCUGGUCUGAGAGGAUGAUCAGCCACACUGGAACUGAGACACGGUCCAGACUCCUACGGGAGGCAGCAGUGGGGAAUAUUGGACAAUGGGCGCAAGCCUGAUCCAGCCAUACCGCGUGGGUGAAGAAGGCCUUCGGGUUGUAAAGCCCUUUUGUUGGGAAAGAAAAGCAGCAGGUUAAUACCCCGCUGUUCUGACGGUACCCAAAGAAUAAGCACCGGCUAACUUCGUG